RNAcentral lists this transfer RNA (88 nucleotides) under Cyrtodactylus ngoiensis (Ngoi bent-toed gecko). Its description in RNAcentral is "tRNA-Cys". The record is from RNAcentral. Lineage: Eukaryota; Metazoa; Chordata; Lepidosauria; Squamata; Gekkonidae.
GCCCCGCCGAAAUACCAAAGUGCAAAUUUGGAGGUGCACCCCAUAAGGGUGCCGGGGCUUCUCCCGUUUUAAACGAGACGGGAGAAGA